This is a non-coding RNA of Rattus norvegicus (Norway rat), 12089 nucleotides long. Lineage: Eukaryota; Metazoa; Chordata; Mammalia; Rodentia; Muridae. The record is from RefSeq and is a predicted model, not a curated record.
UUAUUCCCUCUCGGAAGUGCGUUACUUAGUUCUCUGAACAAAAAAGUUCCAAAGCCCUAGGUCAGCAGUUCUCAACCUUUCUGCUGCCGCGGUCUUUUAAUACAGUUCCUCAAGUUGUGGUGACCACUCCCCAACCAUAAUGUUUUUUUGUCGCUACUUCAUAACUGUAACUUUGCCACUCUUACGACUAGUAAUGUAAAUAUCUGUGUUUUGUGAUGGUCUUAGUUGACACCUGAGAACGGGUUGUUCUACCCGCAAAAGGAGUCAGGAUCGCUGCCCUAGUAUGUUACCGGCUCUGGUGUAAGUGCUGAAAAACAGCAGAACCAAAUCAGGUAAAAGUCCUCAUUCUCUGACACCUGAUUAGCAAUAAACUGAAAUCGAUCGAAUCAGUGGACAAGGGAUCAAAGUCCUAUGCUAGGGAAAUGAAGCAGGCAAGAGGGCAGCUCAACUUUAGGGAAGACAAAGAAAAUGUAGAAGACGACCACUGAGAAAUUAAUAAUUGUUGUCGAGCCAUUAAGAUGUGAAUUGUAGAGACGCACUCCUGGGUGAGUGGGGCCGGUCUCUGUAGUAGAGUCCCAAGGUUUAAAACCUGACUCACUGCUUCGCUCCUAUCUGUACUACUUACGCUCUAUGAGCUUCAGUUUCCUCAUGUGAAAAGUACACGGAAUGACUCGUUUUGUUUUUUUUUUUUUUUUUUUGAUUUAUUCAUUUAUUAUAUAUAAGUACAUUGUAGUUGUCUUCAGAUACACCAGAAGAGGGCAUCAGAUCUCUUUACAGAUGGUUGUGAGCCACCAUGUGGUUGCUGGGAAUUGAACUCAGGACCUCUGGAAGAGCAGUCGGUGCUCUUAACCACUGAGCCAUCUCUCCAGCCCCCAAGAAUGACUCGUUUAAGGAAGAAUCAAAUGUAGAAAUGCUUGUUCGGGGCUGGAGAGUUGGCUUAGCGACUAUGCAUUUGUUGCUCUUGAAAGGAUCUAGGCUCAAUCACCAACGCGGUGACUCCCAGAUACCUGCAGUUCAAGUCCCAGAGGGUCUGGUGGACCUUUUUUUUUAAUCCCCUCCCAGCACUAGGCUCACACGUGCUGCAGUUACAUACGUGCAAGCUAAACAUGCAUAAUCUAAAAAAAAAUUAAUGUUCAUAAAGCAUCAAGUGAAAUGUCACUUAGGCCACAUAAAUGGUAGUUACUUCAUAGGAAGAAUUUGGUUGGUAGCAGGACCUUGCCAACUAAAAGGUCAAACUUACACUUUGCUCUCUCUCAUUUUUUUUAAAGAAAUACUUUAUAUGAGGUAUAUGAGUACACUGUAGUAGCUGUUCUCAUUACAGACGGUUGUGAGCCAUCAUGUGGUUGCUGGGAUUUGAACUCAGGACCUCUGGAAGAUCAGUCAGUGCUCUAACCACUGAGCCAUUUCUCCAGGCCAUGGAUUCCCUUUUAUUUGAGUUCCAGAGAAUGAGUCAUACUGCUCUCUCUCUCUCUCUCUCUCUCUCUCUCUCUCUCUCACACACACACACACUCACACACACACACACACACACACACACACACACACACACACUCACAAAGGUAAUCAGAAAAGUUACUAUACCUAGCCAGUUUGCAAAAUCCAACUCAAAUGUAAUGUCACUUCAAAGCAGUGAUCUUCUUUUUUUAAAAAGAUUUAUUUAAGUAUACGAGUACACUGUUGCUGUCUUCAGACACACCAGAAGAGGGCAUCGGAUCCCAUUUACAGAUGGUUGUGAGCCACCUUGUGGUUGCUGGGAUUUGAACUCAGGACCUCUGGAAGAGCAGUGGCCACUGAGCCACCUCUCCUGCCCCUAGCGGUGAUUUUCAUUGUCACCUUCAGAUAACUUUGGUCUUUAUUAGUUCCUUAAUAACCCAGACCUUUGGCUUGGUGGUGGUUGUACGAGCCCUUAGUCCCAACACCCAGGAGGCAGAGGUAGGCGGAUAUCUGUGUGAGGUCCAGUACACCAGGAAUACACAGAAAAAUGUUGUCUCAAAAAACAAAUGAACCAAAAUAAAAUAACCUAGGCCUAGCCGGGCAAUGGUGAUGCACACCUUUAAUCCCAGCACCUGGGAGGCAAAGGCAGGUGGAUCUCUGUGAGUUCCAGAACAAGUUCCAAAACAGCGAGAGCUACAAGGUGAGAACAUGUUUGAAAAACAACAAAAUCUAAAUCUUCCCUCAGCCUCCUAGAUCCUCCCCCUGACACUAAAAUUACAGAAUGUCGUGUCUGGUGUGGUAACACACCUGCAAUCCCAGCACUUGGGACAGAGUGGCAGAAGCAGAAGGAUUGCCUCAACUUUAUGACCAGCCUGGUUUACAUAGCAAGUCCAGGUCAACCAGAGGUGGAAGUUACAUCCUGAAACUGUCUCAAGAAGCCAAAAUAAGGAACUGGAGAUACGGAUCAGUAGUUAAGGGCACUGGAAGAUCUCCCAGACAACCCAGGUCUAGUUCCCAGCACCCUUAUGGUAGUUUAAAAACAGUCUAACUCCGGGGUUGGGGAUUUAGCUCAGCGGUAGAGCGCUUGCCUAGCGAGCGCAAGGCCCUGGGUUCGGUCCCCAGCUCCGAAAAAAAGAAAAAAGAAAAAGAAAAAAAAAAAAAAAACAGUCUAACUCCAGUCCCAGGAGAUCUAAAACCUUCUUCUGGCCUGUGGGCACUUGGUCCAUAUGUGCACAGACAUACACGAAAAUAAAACACCCAUACCUAUUAAAAAAAAAAGAAAGAGGGGGCUGGAGAGAUGGCUCAGCGGUUAAGAGCACCCGACUGCUCUUUCAGAGGUCAUGAGUUCAAUUCCCAGCAACCACAUGGUGGCUCACAACCAUCUGUAAAGAGAUCCGAUGCCCUCUUCUGGUGUAUCUGAAGACAGCUACAGUGUACUUAUAUAUAAUAAAUAAAUCUUUAAAAAAAAAAAAAAAAAAAAAAAAAAAAAAAAAAAAAGAAAGAAAUAUAAAAGCUAGUCAGGAUAUAUGAUAUGUGUCCAAAAAUAAUAAUAAAAAAAUACUAAUGCUACAAUUACCUUGCUAUGACGGUGGCUUCCGGGUGGCAGAAGACACUGUCUUUGGUUAGUGAGAAGGAAAUGAUUCAUUAGUUCUGUGAAUGUUUUGCCUCCACCCUGGUAAAUGCAGAGUUUACAGCUAAGAAUAGAAAAGGCUGAAGUCCCAGGCCCCGAGGAAUGUGCUGUCCUUUGAACCUCUUUAUUAGUCUAAAGCUAUUAGAGAAACAGGUUUGUUCAUCAGGAGGAAGUCCAGCCAAGAGCAAAGAGAACAGGUUUAGCAGGGAGGCUCUGAGUAAGACUCUGCUGGAAAGGAGUUACUGCUCUCGGUGUCUCCUUUUAGAGCCUAAGCUUGUUAUUAGCACAGGAUGUUUCUCAGUCCAACUCGAGGGGUGCCCUGCUAUAAGGUAGGACGGGAAUGGAGGCAACCUUCGUAUGGUGUGGCACUCCAACAAGACCUGAGUGUGGGAAGGACACACACAGAAACAAAAAGACACUGCCAGUUAUUAAGCACCAAGUCUGUAUCAGAAUCAGAGGAGUCGGUUUUUUUUUUCCUUGUUAUCUAAUGGGAUUCAGCUUUGAAAGCUUUUUACUGAUAACCAAAUUGAGCACCACAGCGGUGACAUAACUUGGGAAAAACAAACUGCAAAGCUAGUAAGUGAUGAAGUCAUUACUUGGGCUCACAUAGCCAGAAUCCAUGGUACACACAGGGCUGGCUGGUGUAUCGAGAACCUUCCAAAUCCCAGCCCAAGUGUACCGGUAACCUCCUGAUGCCUUUUGCUGUGAUUGGAGAGCCUUAUUUUCUCAGGUAAGUUCUUGGAAGUAAACUGCCUUUAUUCAGGGACAAGAUCAUGGCCCUAAAAUAUACCUUAGUCAUGCCUGGGAAGUUCCUGAGGCCAGAGGAAUACAAGUCCAAAGAUAACAUGUGCUGCAACAGUUCAAGGGCAGCCUAGGCUCCAGAGUAAGAUCCUGUCACAAAUGAAAAGGGGCAGGGGCUCUGGGGCAUAGGUGGUCAAGUGUUUGCCAUGAAAACAUGACACUCUGAGCUCUGCCCCAGAAGAGGCAGGCACAGGCAGAUCCUUGGGGUUCACUGGCUAGCCAGUCUCACUGAAUCAGUGACCCCCAGGCCAAUGUGAGAGACCCUGCCUCAAAAAAGCCAGGUGGAUGACUCCCAAGAAAUGACACAAGGUCGACUUCAGGCCUAAACUCACAGGGACACUCACUGGUAUACACACGGAUAUGCACAGACACCUACACAAGAACAAAUUAAAGAUCAAAUCAUUUUAAGAGGCAAGUUAAUGGGGAAGAAAAGAGGCUGGUAGGAAGAGGCACGACGCCACCUGUCCUGGUCAUUACCGAGAGACCACUCGGUGGACGCCUCCUACUUCAGAGUGAGUGCCACCUCACUGUACAGCACAGCCUGUCUCCCAGACGGGCGCCUUGAACUCCCUCCACUACCAACUACUAAAGCCCUGCUGCAGAGGCCGGCGGGGCUGCUUUGCUAUGUGGACACACGCUGUAGGUGAGGAUGGUCCAGCGAUUGUAAUCCAGGCUCCAAAGAUGACACCUGAGGCUUAUUUCGUUGAGGAAAGCAGGUACUAACACCGGCCUUGGAUUUCAGACCUAAGAAAUACCAAGGCAGGUGUGAUGGGUCACACCUGGUCUUAGGGUUUUGCUGCUGUGAGCAGACACCGUGACCAAGGCAACUCUUAUAAAGGACAACAUUUAAUUGAGGCUGGCUUACAGGUUUUUGUUGUGUUGUGCCCUGAAGUUAUCUGUAUUUUGAUGCUAAUUCCACUGCCCCAAGGACAGCUGCCUAGUCACUACUCAGAACUCAGAUGACUUCACCAGAACCACCUCCCCAUUGAAUUUGUAAAGUACAGGUGAGGGGCAGGUACAGAUAGAAGGAGGCCUGUCAUUGGAGGAGAAGGAAGGAUGGGCGGGAGAGAAGUUUGAAGGAAGAGGAGGAGACUAGGAGAGAAAGGAGGAGGCAGGAGACAGACAGAGAGAGGGUAGAAGCCAUGGCAGGUGAUGUUAAGAUUCUGCUCUGUGUAUUUACAGGUUGUUAUCAAUGUUCUUAAGGGAUGUUCUUACCGGGCUUUGUAUGUUUAAGGGGGCAAUUAUAUCUUAUCAAUUGAGUCAAAGAUUAUUGUGUUGUGUGUUCUUUUAUGUGAGGGUUUGAGUGUAAGAAAGUGCAGCUGGGAUGUGUUUCCGCCAAGAUAUCUAGCAGAUAUCUUGGGCACCGAGGUGGGGACCUAACGGGAUAAAAGACAACCAUACUUUUUUAUUAAUAUAUUUUUACAACAACAGGUUUAGAGGUUUGGUUCAUUGUCAUCAAGGCGGGAGCAUGGCAGCAUCCAGGCAGGCAUGGUGCAGGAGGAGCUGAGAGUUCUACAUCUUCAUCUGAAGGCUGCUAGAAGACUGACUUCCAGGCAGCUAGGAUGAGGGUCUUAAAUCCCAUGCCCAUAGCGACACACCUACUCCAACAAGGCCACACCUCCAAAUAGUGCCACUCCCUGGACCAAGCAUAUCCAACCCAUGACACCGGUAAUACCACCUCUUGGGAGUCUGAGGCAGGAGGAUUGCCCAGACUGGUCUACGUAGUGAGUUACCCAAGGUCACUUUGGGAUACAAGAUGCCGGCUUCACAAGCGUGCUCCGGUGCACACAGCACUCUUGAAUGAAAUGUAAGCAAGAGAGAUGAAAGUUCCCAGGCACAGGAGUGUGCAAAACAUCUUCCAGUUGUGUGAUGGUCUGAAGCAAACUCAAGGGUAAUGACCCGCCAGGGAAAGUGCCAGGAUUACAAAGGAUGACUCACAGACUGUGGUCCAAAUAAUCCAAAAAAUGGCUCCAACAAUUGAGAAGUUGUCAGUCACCGAGGCUGGAUGUCUCCCGUAGCCUUGGGUACACACUGGAAUCCUGAAGAAGUCGGCCGUGAUACCAGUGAAGGCAAAGACCUAGGCUUCCUUCCUCCAUCUCCUUUAAAUAUGAUUUCAGCAGGAGGAGUGGCCCAGGUUAGAGGGGGGGUCUUCCUGCCACAGAAGAGCUGGAUUAGAGGUGGGUCUUCCCAAUUGUAUUAGAUCGCGGAUGGCUUAGGUUCUUUGAAAGAACUCAGGCUCCUCUACCACUCUCUGUUGCGACAAAGCUGUCCAUGAACCCCGGAUCCUCCCGAUUCAGCCUCCCAGUGAUGGAAUUACACAUAUGCACCACCGAUCCAGCUUUGAACUACAAUUUGGAUAUUUGGUUUAUCUCAGCAAAACUCUUACUGGGAGCCAGGAGGUGGUGGCACAAGCCUUUGACCCCAGCACCGAGGAGGCAAAGGCAGGUAGAUCUCUGAGUUCAAGGUUAGCCUGGACUACCGAGCAAGUUCCAAGACAGCCAAGGCCGCACAGAGAAAUCCUGUCUCAAAAAGACAACAAAAAAACCUCAGUACUCCCCCAGUCUGAGGUGAGGUGAUUCGGUGGGUAAAGGCUUUUGUGUUUGACUGGAGACAAACACAAAAGAGAGUUCAGUUCCCAGAGACAGCAUGGAAGUGAAGAAAAGUGGUUCCUUAUGGUUGUCUUCUGACCUACACAGAGAGACAGAGAGACAGAGGUAGAGACAGACAGACACAGACAGACCGGGACAGACAGACAGACAGACACUACAGUUUUCUAAAGCAUUCACACACAGGCCCUGGGGAAAGGCUUAGAGGGUGAGUCCUUGCUGUGAAAACAAGAGAACCUGAGCUGAUGUCAUUCCAAUUGGUGUGAAAGCCAGGCAUGGCUGGGUGUGUCUGUACCCCCACCGUGGAGAGAUGGAUGCUGGGAACUCCCUGGCCAGGCUGCCUAGUCUAGCUUGAGGUUCAGUGGGAAACUCUGUCUCAGAAGAUAAGGUGGGCAGGAAUGCAUGGAGUGCACAUAAAUGCAUGCGGGGGACCCUCCUAUCCACAUAAAAAGACACAGAGGUUCUCUGUGAGGACCAGGCUGGCCUCAAACUCAGAGAUCCACUUAACCUCUGAUUGCUGGGAGUAAAGACCUGCGCCAGCACACCCAGCCAAUACAAGAAUAAAAUAAAAAGACAGAGGGCCAUUGAGGAAGUUAUCCAAUAUUCUUCUCUGGCCUCUACAUGGGUGUAUACUCGUGUAUCCCCCAAACAAAACAAAACAACUUCAUAUACCUAUAUAAUUUUUAUUAUGUUGUCUAAAUCAGAUGUCCAAGUUCUCUCGGUCUGAUGGACUACCAAGUUUGGGAACACAGAGCAAAGAACAGAUUAUAAAUCAAAUGUGGUACCCACGUGAAAUACAAAACUGCUUUUACCGAAGCCUUUUCUUUCACGGCGCCAGGGAUUGGACCCUCGUGCAUGUCAGGCAACAACUCUAACUCUACCAUGGCACUGAAUUCCCACAUCGACUGGAGACUCCCGCACCACUCUAUGCUAAGAUUAAAGACCUGUGCCACCAGCACCCAGCAGCCCUGAAGUCUUAAAGUUCAGAACUUGGCUCUUCCCUGCAGAGACAAACGCAACUCCUAGUUCUCUGAGAAGCCCCUGGAUCCUCAGCUUCCAGCCUGACUUAGUGGCUCAGGUCACAUGGGCUGGUUCGGGGAGUCCCUUCUUCUCUGCAGGGGCGGAGUCUGGGCAGCCCGUUGCCUGUGUUAGCCCAUGUCAGACUCUGCUCAGCGGUCCCACAUUUGGUGACAGACCCUGCCCCCUUGGACUCUAGACCUUAUUAUAUCUGUCUCAACUCCUGGUCACAGUCCAUUUCACCCUCACCUCUCUGUGGACCCCUUUCUGUGGCUAUGUUCCAGACCCCAGAAGACCCUGCCUCAAGAGGCUCAGUCUGACCAGAAGGACCUUAAGCAGGUUCCCUUUAUAGGGUAAUUCCUGUGUGUGUGUGUGUGGGGGGGGGGAAGGUCAUCCAUUACCAUAUACUUCUGGUACUCCUGAAGCUAUGUAAGCCAGAGAAUCGCUGGGAAGUGUCACAUAUCCGGUGUUAUUUUUUUGUUGUUGUUAUUGCAGGAUAUUUGGUCAUACUGUGAACCGGGGAGAUUGUGUUAUGGCCUGGCUCAGCCCUCACACAAACCUUUAAUCCCUCUGACUGGGAUACAGGCAGGCCCUUAGUACACACCUUUAAUCCCAAACAAGGAAGGUAAAGUUUAUAGAAGGAAGCACCGGUGUUUGAAAUCGAUGUCUAACCGAGAGGCAGACAAAGUGAGGAACCAGAGAAAGAUUUGACAGACUCAGAUCUGCUCUCCCGAGUAGAGAGGAAAGGGAAACAACUUAAGGAGGCAGUGCAGAGAGGGAGGGAAGAAUAAGGCAGUUUGACUGGGAGAGUUUUUACAGAGACUGGGUGAAGAGAGACCGAGCUAGAGAAUGAGAAGGAUCAGAAGAUUAGAUUGCUCUGUCAGAAGAAGGCCAGUCGGGGGGGUUGGGGAUUUAGCUCAGUGGUAGAGCGCUUGCCUAGCAAGCGCAAGGCCCUGGGUUCGGUCCCCAGCUCCGAAAAAAAGAAAAAAAAAAAAAAAAAAGGCCAGUCGGAGCAACUCCAUGAGAAGCCAAGAGACGCCAGAUUGAAUCAGUCAGUGUGGAGAGGCGUUUGAGCCAGAACCAGCCAGCCAGAGCUCAGAAAGAACUUGGAAGGGUGGGCUUAUUGAGCAGCAAAUCUCGGAAGCUGAAAACAUUUCUGGUCUAGAUCAGAUUGUACAUUGUACAGAGGUUAGAGGCUUUCAGGGCCAGACCUAUGCUAGCAGAAGGCAGUAAGCCGCUGAGAUGACGAUUACAAUUACAUCAUCAGGCAAGUAAAAGAUACCUUUUUUUGUUGUGUAAGUAGGGUUCUGUCAGGGAGGGACAGGGAGGCUGCAGUUCUCCCCUUGGGGCCAUGAUUUCCACCCAACCCCACCUAACAUGACAAUAGAUGUAUGUGUGAAAUUCAAAGAAGUAUGUGUUGGUCAGCGGUGGUACACCCCUUUAAUCCCAGCACUCAGGCUGAGGCUGAGGCAGUCAGAUCCCUGAGUUCAAGGCCAGUCUGGGCUAUAGAAUGAGUGCCAGAAUAGCUAUACAGGAAAACAGUGUCCAAAAAAAAAAAAAAAAAAAAAGAAAGAAAGAAAGAAAGGAAAAAAAAGGAAAAAUCGAAAUCAAGAGUGUCAUAUUAUGUUGGGUUGGGAUUUAGCUCAGUGGUAGAGCGCUUGCCUAGCAAGCGCAAGGCCCUGAGUUCGGUCCCCAGCUCUGAAAAAAAGAAGAAAAAAAAAAAAAGACUUGAAAAAUAAAGUGUCAUAUUGUCACAUCACAGAAUAGCCAGGACCCCAUAGGCCCUGUCUCAAACAAAACAAAACACAAGAGAAUGUCCUAUCAGCCAGGCACCAUGGCCCACCUAAGGUUCAGGGAUAUUAUGAAAGGUUAAAAGCCAGAAGAACAGGGGGUUUGCUGUGAGGAAUGUCAGAAGCUACACUUAUAAAGUCUUACCAACAAGGCUGUCAAACAAGGACAAGCUCCCAGAUGCCCCAAGCCCACACGGCCACAGCCCUACACAAAGAAUCAAAGGCCAGGAUUGCUGACAGCACGAGAAGCCAUCUCUCCUGGAGGGCGGGGAGCACAGCACCAAAUCAUACACAGUAGCAUCACACACAGAGUAGGUUGUACAUACAUGCACAUAUAUGUCUGAUGACAGUUAAUGAAAAAAGGCAGGGGGCUGGGGAUUUAGCUCAGUGGUAGAGCGCUUACCUAGGAAGCACAAGGCCCUGGGUUCGGUCCCCAGUUCCGGAAAAAAAAAAAAAAAAAAAAAAAGGCAAACCUACGGUAUGCCGAAGAAGGGUUUAGACUAAACAUCCGAGGGAGGAAAGGGAAGCAGAAAUUAUGAACACAUUUUUUUUUUAAUUUAGGUGGCCAAAAACAAAACGGUUUUAAUUUAGUACCUAGUACCGAAUGUGCUUCCAACAUAUUAAAAUCACCCAGACACAGGAACGUUACAAAUUACUGCAGAAACGUAUUUGGUACAGGAAUGUGUUGAACUGAUUUGAUAUUAAAAAAGAAACAAAACAAAACACAAAACAAAAAACAAGGGGCUGGGGAUUUAGCUCAGUGGUAGAGCGCUUGCCUAGGAAGCGCAAGGCCCUGGGUUCGGUCCCCAGCUCCGGAAAAAAAGAACCAAUAAAAAAAAAAAAAAAAAAACAAAAAACAAAAAACAAAAAACAAGCAGUUGGGUCAUAGGAGUCAGAUUUCAGGCUGAAGAAAUCAGGCCAUUCCCACCCAACAACUUGGUUGUGGGGCUGUUUUUUUUUUUUUUUUUUUACAGCCUCUAGUGUGUCAUCCUGCCCCAGACCACAUCACAUGGUGGGGAACUCCCUAACGCCCUCAGAAAGAAUAUAAAAGUCCAGGUCAGAUGCUUCCUUUUGAUCAGGAGAUUUCCUUGAAAGCUCUCCGGAGCCUCUUCACCUUGUCUCCCCAACUCCUGACCCUCCCUCCUGCCUCUCCUCUCCACACUCCUGACCCUCCCUAUGCCCUUCCCCUCCCCUCCUCUUCCCCAGGCCGCCAUCUCCUUUUAUCUUCCUUUAAGCUUUCUCUCCUAGCGAGGCUCCUCUCUGUUGUUCUGUGGUUUGUUUGGAGACGGGGGUCUCCUAUGGCCCUGGCUAGUUUGGAACCCACAGCCUCUGCCUCCUCAAGUGUCAGGAUUAAAGUCAAGCCAACAGAGCAGGGAUCACCCCUGGGCUCUAUUUAUAUAUAUUUUAUGUAGAUUGGUAUUUUGUCUGCAUGUACACCUGCACACCAGAUACGGCAUCAGACCGUAGUGAACUGCCCUGUGGGUGCUGGGAAUUGAACUCAGGACCUUUGGAAGAGCAGUUAAGGCCCUCACUCCCACCCCUACCACCGUCCCCAGGUUUUAAAUAGAAGCCUGCGGUUCCAUUAAGGCAUCCUUACAUCAGCUCUGUAAUGAUGCUGCUUUUAAAAUGCUCUCCCGGGUUGGGGAUUUAGCUCAGUGGUAGAGCGCUUGCCUAUCAGGCGCAAGGCCCUGGGUUCGGUCCCCAGCUCCGAAAAAUAGAAAAGAAAAAAAAAACAAAAACACAUAAAAUGCUCUCCCUCCUCCGGGCCACACCCAUGCCCUGCCCACCUUGGUCAUGAGGUUCCUCUCCUACAAAACUCAUUUCUGAAGGAAGAUUCCCUUCUGGGAGGGAGAUCUCCUUUUUUUUUUUUUUUUUGGUUCUUUUUUUUCGGAGCUGGGGACCGAACCCAGGGCCUUGCGCUUCCUAGGUAAGCGCUCUACCACUGAGCUAAAUCCCCAGCCCCCUCCUUUUUCUAACACAAGGCGGUAACAUCCCGCAGUUGUGACCAGCUAGUUCUACAAACUCACGUGAUAGAGCAGAAUCGAGACCGAAAGCUGGGGAACGUAAGAGGGAGGGGAGAAAAGGAAGUCCCAGAAGCAGAUCUACACACUCCUCACACCCACUUCCUGCUCUAGGGGCCGAUGGCUCUCUACAACUUGUACCAGAACUUUCCUGGGAAGAAGGUGUUAAGACAGGGCCUGAGGUAUCUCUGCUAUUUGGUGGACUCUUCUUUCUUCCACCCUCCCAGCCCUCUAACACUGGAUAAGAGAGAAGAAAGGACAGAGGGGAAAGGAAAGAGAUCUCUGAGUAAAGUCAGGGGUCGGAAAAGGGUGCCGUUAUCAUCAGACUGCUUCCUGCUGAUUAUGGGAGUCAUACUGCAGUUUCUUGGGGCAAGUUUGAUCUUCACAGUCAGGAUAUAUAAUCCUUUCUUCCUUUCUUCUCUUCCUCCUCCUCGUCCUCCUCUUCCUCUUUUUCGAGCCUGACUACCUAACAAACCACGACCAACAACCAACAACCCCCCCCAUGCUAGCUUACGGGCAGUUCCUCUGGCCUGCUCUCGGGGACCUAGCAAUUGCUUAUGUCACGACGGGCCACUUGUGUCACGACGGGCCACUGCCUCAGGUGUGUCUUGUGUGUGCUCCAUAUAAAAACCCACCUGUCAUUCAGCAGCUCACUCUUUCCCCAGUUUCCCCUCUAUCUGUUCUCUGCAGGCGCCCUCCUUUCUCUCUCUGCCCUCACAGUUCUGUCCACUUGUCUGCUUCUAUCUCCUUCCCAGGCCUCCACCCCUCCCCCUCCCCCAAUAAACCUCCU